ACGGAAGGCAGCAGUGGGGAAUAUUGCACAAUGGGGGAAACCCUGAUGCAGCGACGCCGCGUGAGUGAAGAAGUAUUUCGGUAUGUAAAGCUCUAUCAGCAGGGAAGAUGAUGACGGUACCUGACUAAGAAGCCCCGGCUAACUACGUGCCAGCAGCCGCGGUAAUACGUAGGGGGCAAGCGUUAUCCGGAUUUACUGGGUGUAAAGGGAGCGUAGGCGGCCAGACAAGUCAGAUGUGAAAGCCCGGGGCUCAACCCCGGGACUGCAUUUGAAACUGUAGGGCUAGAGUACUGGAGAGGCAAGCGGAAUUCCUAGUGUAGCGGUGAAAUGCGUAGAUAUUAGGAAGAACACCAGUGGCGAAGGCGGCUUGCUGGACAGAGACUGACGCUGAGGCUCGAAAGCGUGGGGAGCAAACAGGAUUAGAUACCCUGGUA
This 434-nucleotide ribosomal RNA is filed under the name uncultured Lachnospiraceae bacterium. Its description in RNAcentral is "partial 16S ribosomal RNA". It matches the Rfam family "Bacterial small subunit ribosomal RNA", at positions 341 to 792 of the family's 1533-position model. Lineage: Bacteria; Bacillati; Bacillota; Clostridia; Lachnospirales; Lachnospiraceae. The record is from RNAcentral.